AACAGAGCAGAGUCCGGUGAACCUAGACCAACGAGACAGACUAGUUCGGGAUUCUCAGAAACUCACUGUGAAGUUAUGGCCUCAUCUCUGUCCAGCCCCUCCCAUCUAACAGAGCUGGACAUGAGUGGAAACACCCUGCAGGAUUCAGCAGUGAAGCUUCUGUGUGCUGGACUGGAGAAUCCAAACUGUCGACUGGAAACUCUAAGAUUGGUGAGCUGUGGUCUGUCAGAGAUCAGCUGUGAUUAUCUGGCAGCAGCUCUGAAGUCCAACCCCUCCUAUCUGAGAGAGCUGGA
Oreochromis aureus is the source of this 293-nucleotide long non-coding RNA. RefSeq lists it as uncharacterized. The transcript is spliced from 3 exons. Lineage: Eukaryota; Metazoa; Chordata; Actinopteri; Cichliformes; Cichlidae. The record is from RefSeq and is a predicted model, not a curated record.